Molecule: long non-coding RNA, 2544 nt
Organism: Oncorhynchus keta (chum salmon)
Lineage: Eukaryota; Metazoa; Chordata; Actinopteri; Salmoniformes; Salmonidae
Exons: 4
Source: RefSeq, a predicted model, not a curated record
CUGUGGCACUCACGUCGGUAGCCACGAAGUGCUUUGAAAGGAUGGUCAUGACUCACAUCAACAGCAUCCUGACUGGAGGUCUUUGAAGCUGAUCUGUAGUGACUGGAGGUCUAUGUAACUGAUCUGUAGUGACUGGAGGUCUAUGUAACUGAUCUGUAGUGACUAGAGGUCCAUGUAACUGAUCUGUAGUGACUGGAGGUCUAUGUAACUGAUAUGUAGUGACUAGAGGUCCAUGUAACUGACCUGUAGUGACUGGAGGUCUAUGUAACUGAUAUGUAGUGACUAGAGGUCUAUGUAACUGAUCUGUAGUGACUGGAGGUCUAUGUAACUGAUAUGUAGUGACUAGAGGUCUCUGUAACUGAUCUGUAGUGACUGGAGGUCUAUGUAACUGAUAUGUAGUGACUAGAGGUCUCUGUAACUGAUCUGUAGUGACUUGAGGUCUAUGUAACUGAUCUGUAGUGACUAGAGAGACUGGAGGUCUAUGUAACUGAUCUGUAGUGACUAGAGGUCUUUGUAACUGAUAUGUAGUGACUAGAGGUCUAUGUAACUGAUCUGUAAUGACUGGAGGUCUUUGUAACUGAUCCGCAGUGACUGGAGGUCUAUGUAACUGAUCUGUAGUGACUAGAGGUCUAUGUAACUGAUCUGUAGUGACUGGAGGUCUAUGUAACUGAUCUGUAGUGACUGGAGGUCUAUGUAACUGAUCUGUAGUGACUAGUGACUGGAGGUCUAUGUAACUAAUCUGUAGUGACUGGAGGUCUAUGUAACUGAUCUGUAGUGACUAGUGACUGGAGGUCUAUGUAACUGAUCCGCAGUGACUGGAGGUCUAUGUAACUGAUCUGUAGUGACUAGUGACUGGAGGUCUAUGUAACUAAUCUGUAGUGACUGGAGGUCUAUGUAACUGAUCUGUAGUGACUGGAGGUCUAUGUAACUGAUCCGCAGUGACUGGAGGUCUAUGUAACUGAUCUGUAGUGACUGGAGGUCUUUGUAACUGAUCUGUAGUGACUGGAGGUCUAUGUAACUGAUCUGUAGUGACUAGAGUGACUAGAGGUCUUUGUAACUGAUCUGUAAUGACUGGAGGUCUUUGUAACUGAUCUGUAAUGACUGGAGGUCUAUGUAGCUGAUCUGUAGUGACUAGAGUGACUAGAGGUCUAUGUAACUGAUCUGUAGUGACUAGUGACUCGAGGUCUAUGUAACUGAUCUGUAGUGACUAGUGACUGGAGGUCUAUGUAACUGAUCUGUAGUGACUAGAGUGACUGGAGGUCUAUGUAACUGAUCUGUAGUGACGAGAGGUCUAUGUAACUGAUAUGUAGUGACUUGAGGUCUAUGUAACUGAUCUGUAAUGACUGUAGGUCUUUGUAACUGAUCUGUAAUGACUGGAGGUCUAUGUAACUGAUAUGUAAUGACUGGAGGUCUAUGUAACUGAUAUGUAAUGACUGGAGGUCUAUGUAACUGAUCUGUAAUGACUGUAGGUCUUUGUAACUGAUCUGUAAUGACUGGAGGUCAAUGUAACUGAUAUGUAAUGACUGGAGGUCUUUGUAACUGAUCUGUAGUGACUAGAGUGACUAGAGGUCUAUGUAACUGAUCUGUAAUGACUGGAGGUCUAUGUAACUGAUCUGUAGUGACUAGAGUGACUAGAGGUCUAUGUAACUGAUCUGUAAUGACUGGAGGUCUUUGUAACUGAUCUGUAGUGACUGGAGGUCUAUGUAACUGAUCUAUAGUGACUAGUGAGACUGGAGGGCUAUGUAACUGAUCUGUAGUGACUAGUGAGACUGGAGGUCUAUGUAACUGAUCUGUAGUGACUAGUGAGACUGGAGGUCUAUGCAACUGGUCUGUAGUGACUAGUGAGACUGGAGGUCUAUGUAACUGAUCUGUAGUGACUAGUGAGACUGGAGGUCUAUGUAACUGAUCUGUAGUGACUAGUGAGACUGGAGGUCUAUGUAACUGAUCUGUAGUGACUAGUGAGACUGGAGGUCUAUGUAACUGAUCUGUAGUGACUAGUGACUGGAGGUCUAUGUAACUGAUCUGUAGUGACUAGUGAGACUGGAGGUCUAUGUAACUGAUCUGUAGUGACUAGUGAGACUGGAGGUCUAUGUAACUGAUCUGUAGUGACUAGUUACUGGAGGUCUAUGUAACUGAUCUGUAGUGACUAGUGAGACUGGAGGUCUAUGUAACUGAUCUGUAGUGACUAGUUACUGGAGGUCUAUGUAACUGAUCUGUAGUGACUAGUGAGACUGGAGGUCUAUGUAACUGAUCUGUAGUGACUAGUGACUGGAGGUCUAUGUAACUGAUCUGUAGUGACUAGUGACUGGAGGUCUAUGUAACUGAUCUGUAGUGACUAGUGACUGGAGGUCUAUGUAACUGAUCUGUAGUGACUAGUGACUGGAGGUCUAUGUAACUGAUCUGUAGUGACUAGUGAGACUGGAGGUCUAUGUAACUGAUCUGUAGUGACUAGUGACUGGAGGUCUAUGUAACUGAUCUGUAGUGACUAGUGACUGGAGGUCUAUGCAACUGAGCUGUAGUGACAAGAUGGUGGAACGGACUCAG